UGGGGAAUAUUGGACAAUGGGGGGCAACCCUGAUCCAGCAAUGCCGCGUGUGUGAAGAAGGUCUUCGGAUUGUAAAGCACUUUCGACGGGGACGAUGAUGACGGUACCCGUAGAAGAAGCCCCGGCUAACUUCGUGCCAGCAGCCGCGGUAAUACGAAGGGGGGCUAGCGUUGCUCGGAAUGACUGGGCGUAAAGGGCGUGUAGGCGGUUUACACAGUCAGAUGUGAAAUCCCCGGGCUUAACCUGGGAGCUGCAUUUGAUACGUGUAGACUAGAGUGUGAGAGAGGGUUGUGGA
This 295-nucleotide ribosomal RNA is filed under the name uncultured bacterium. RNAcentral describes it as "partial 16S ribosomal RNA". It matches the Rfam family "Bacterial small subunit ribosomal RNA", at positions 355 to 665 of the family's 1533-position model. The record is from RNAcentral.